AAACUACAAGGGGAGCCGAAGCUCCCCAAGAAGUAGUUGCAUGCUCUAUUUUUAUUAUUGGUUUCGGGCUUUUUGUUUUUGUUAAGUGCCCUCGUCAUGAAGUUUUUCCUUUCAUGACCCUCCCAAUCGGGAGCCAAGAGCAAACGGAUUGCUUUGGUCGCUGUGCUGCAGUGAUCUUACGAUCCAACCAGUUCAGGCACUGUCUUAGGACAGUU
RNAcentral lists this unclassified non-coding RNA (215 nucleotides) under Pseudomonas arsenicoxydans. RNAcentral's name for it is "Pseudomonas sRNA P29". The record is from RNAcentral. Lineage: Bacteria; Pseudomonadati; Pseudomonadota; Gammaproteobacteria; Pseudomonadales; Pseudomonadaceae.